AGUAGUCAUAUGCUUGUCUCAAAGAUUAAGCCAUGCAUGUCUAAGUACAAGCCAGUCUAAGGUGAAACCGCGAAUGGCUCAUUAAAUCACACCUGAUGUACCGGACGUUUCCACUUACUUGGAUAACUGCGGUAAUUCUGGAGCUAAUACAUGCCUAAAAGCCCCGACUCACGGAAGGGCGCAUUUAUUAGAUCAAAACCAAACGGCUUGCCGUUAAAUUGGUGAUUCUGAAUAACUUGCUGAUGAUUAUGGCUCAACGCCGAUCACAUGUCCGUCCAAGGUGUGCCCUAUCAACUGUCGACUGUGGCAUAGACGCCCACAGUGGUUUUGACGGGUAACGGGGAAUUAGGGUUCGAUUCCGGAGAGGGAGCCUGAGAAACGGCUACCACUUCUAAGGAAGGCAGCAGGCACGCAAAUUACCCAAUGGUCGAAGACCGAGGUAGUGACGAAAAAUAACGAUACCGGUCUCUUCCGAGGCCCGGUAAUCGGAAUGAUUACAGUUUAAAAUAUUUAAAGAGGAACAAUUGGAGGGCAAGUCUGGUGCCAGCAGCCGCGGUAAUUCCAGCUCCAAUAGCGUAUAUUAAAGUUGUUGCGGUUAAAAAGCUCGUAGUUGGAUCUCGGCGAGUAGGGGGCGGUUCGUUGUUUGACGGUACUGCCCCAUUUACUCGUGUUUUUGACAGAGGGUUGGAGGUCCCCUUCAUUGGGUGUCUUCGGUCACUGUCAGGUUUACUUUGAAAAAAUUAGAGUGCUCAAAGCAGACGUUAUUCGUCUGAAUAUUCGUGCAUGGAAUAAUAGAAUAGGAUGAGUCUCCUAUUUUGUUGGUUUUCGGGAAGAUUCAUAAUGAUUAAUAGGGACAAUCGGGGGCAUUAGUAUUCAAACGACAGAGGUGAAAUUCUUGGACCGUUUGAAGACUAACUACUGCGAAAGCAUUUGCCAAGAGUGUUUUCAUUAAUCAAGAACGAAAGUUAGAGGUUCGAAGGCGAUCAGAUACCGCCCUAGUUCUAACCAUAAACGAUGCCAGCUAGCGAUCUGCGGGUGUGUAAUUCCAAGACCCCGCAGGGAGCUUCCGGGAAACCAAAGCUUGUGGGUUCCGGGGGAAGUAUGGUUGCAAAGCUGAAACUUAAAGGAAUUGACGGAAGGGCACCACCAGGAGUGGAGCCUGCGGCUUAAUUUGACUCAACACGGGAAAUCUCACCAGGCCCGGACACCGGAAGGAUUGACAGAUUGAGAGCUCUUUCUCGAUUCGGUGGGUGGUGGUGCAUGGCCGUUCUUAGUUGGUGGAGUGAUUUGUCUGGUUAAUUCCGAUAACGAACGAGACUCUGUCCUGCUAACUAGAGCUCUGAUUCUUAUGUCAGAGCGUCUUCUUAGAGGGACUGGCGGAUCUAAGCCGCACGAGAUUGAGCAAUAACAGGUCUGUGAUGCCCUUAGAUGUUCUGGGCUGCACACGCGCUACACUGAAGGGAUCAGCGUGCCUUCCCUUUCCGACAGGAACGGGUAACCCGCUGAACCCCCUUCGUGGUAGGGAUUGGAGCUUGCAAUUAUUCUCCAUGAACCAGGAAUUCCCAGUAAGCGCAAGUCAUAAGCUUGCGUUGAUUACGUCCCUGCCCUUUGUACACACCGCCCGUCGCUACUACCGAUUGAACGUUUUAGUGAGACAUUUGGACUGGGUCAGUGUAGGCUUUUAUGUUUACGUUGUCUCCGGAAAGACUUUCAAACUUGAGCGUUUAGAGGAAGUAAAAGUCGUAACAAGG
Molecule: ribosomal RNA, 1751 nt
Filed under: Sapphirina doliolettae
Lineage: Eukaryota; Metazoa; Arthropoda; Copepoda; Poecilostomatoida; Sapphirinidae
Description: SSU rRNA
Rfam family: Eukaryotic small subunit ribosomal RNA
Source: RNAcentral